This 122-nucleotide long non-coding RNA is filed under the name Mustela putorius furo (domestic ferret). Its description in RNAcentral is "lncRNA (ENSMPUG00000024061.1)". The record is from RNAcentral. Lineage: Eukaryota; Metazoa; Chordata; Mammalia; Carnivora; Mustelidae.
UGGAGGUUGGAUCACUUGCCAAUACCAGUAAUUUAAUCAGUCAUGCCUAUGCAGUGAAGUCUCCAUAAAACCCCAAAAGUCACAGGAAGAAGAUGGCUGUCUAUGAACCAGGAAGAGUGUUC